RNA transcript from Brassica napus (rape), 1291 nucleotides. It is a transcript of the gene named kinesin-1 heavy chain-like, with no coding region annotated. NCBI's taxonomy places the organism in Eukaryota, Viridiplantae, Streptophyta, Magnoliopsida, Brassicales, Brassicaceae. The transcript is spliced from 11 exons. The record is from RefSeq and is a predicted model, not a curated record.
ACUUGGAGUCGGAGACACAGGUCACACGACACACAUCGUUUAGAAUAAUAUUGCCAAAUUAUUUGGGCCUAGUAUUUUGGGCUCCAUAUACAUGGGCCGAAGAUUAUCUGAUUAUUCCGCUUCUUACUGACGCAUACUUUUUCAGAACGGGAAGUGAGAUAUUUUUCCAGUGACGAAGAAACCAUGGCGGGAAUCGAUACGCAGAAGCAGCUUCUCUCUCUGAUCCGCGACUUCACCUCUGAAAGAUCUCGUGGAGAGCAAAGAGUGGUUGGAUUGAAGAAGCGGAUCGAAUCUCUACAAUCGGAAGUGGAAGCAGCGAAUGCAGAUGUUGAACAUGCGAAACGAAUCAAAGAAGUGGCGGAAGAGGAGCUCAACGGCUACGAAGUUGAAUCGUCUUUGAACGAUGCUACGAUUCAAUCCCUUGAGGCAAGGAUUGCUCUUCUUCAGGAUGAAGUUUCUACUGUUGGCAAUGAAGUGGAUGCUCUCAAGAACAAGGAAGGAUUACUUAGAGAUCAAUUUAUAAGCCAAAUGGUUGAGCUGAACAAGGAAAUAAGGGUGUUCCAGAAAACUGUAGCCUCCCGUGUGGGCAAUGAUGAUAGUACUAGCAUAACUGCAAAUGUCAAAGUUUUUGAGGAUGGUCACGGAGCUGAUUCACAAGCAAUCAAGGAUAUGCUAUCUGAUGUUAAUUCUCAAUUGGCAAAAGAGGAGGAUGGAUUCCUAGCAGAGCAGAAGAUAAAAGAACAGCUGCAGAAAGAGCUUGAUGAAUAUGAGAAGAAGAUGUCACUCAUGGAGGCCAUAAAAGGCAUAACAAAUUCAGUACAAAAUCUCGCUAGGCAGAGUUCUGAGCUGGAACAGACAUUGGCUUCACUGGGGGAAGAGCUGCAGAAGAGAUGCCGAUGCCAACAUUGCCAGGCAGAAAAUUUGGAAGUCUUGAGCUUACUUCUCCAAGGAGACCAGGAUAUGGUGGCGUCUUAGUUAAAGAGAAUCUUACCUAUCUAUGUGUUGCUUGAAGGAAGAUGGAUUUACUCCGGUUCCAAAAUGAAUAAAAGAAAUGAAAAGAAACACGGUCUAAAACACUUACCAAGGAAACAUAUCACCCAAGAUGCAGCAGCCACAUAAAGCAAAACUAAAGCAUUCUGUUAAUUACCCCAUGUACAAAAAGAAGCAAGGUACAUUAGACUUUUCUUAAUGAAAAUAAUAAUUAUAUGUAUUCUCAACGGAAAUUUUACGCAUGAUUCACAUACGAAUAGCUCAAUUCUUAUAAAAUUGCAUAUGAAUAUAUUUUUACAAA